GAAACCUAGAUUCACCAUGAGUCAUCAAGGGACUCAAAGACAGACUUAUCUGGAGAAAAAGAGAAUAAAGCUGAACAUGCAGCCUCCAGCCCCAAAGAAAGAGUGAGAGAGAACAGGAGAAUAGAAUCUUAUUAGAAGCCAGAUGUAUUUCGAGCAACUGGGUUCCUUGAAAUUUCUCUGGUUCAUAAGUGCUUCACAGACAUAAUGGGCUAGUAAAUUAGGUCCUUAUUUUGGAACAAACUGAGAGAUAUAUUUGGAAGCAUGACAGAGAUCAAGCUGUCAGCUUUAAUUGGGGACAAAAGCUAAGUUGGAGAAGGGCAAACUGCUAAUAAUUCACCCCAGAUUUGUCAGAUUUACCUACCCAGUCACAAGCCCAGUAAUAAUCACAGCAUAGAUGCAAAGAUAGAUAAUGCAUCUCUCUGCAGUCAGGCCAAUUUCAAAGUCUCCUCCAAGAUAUUCUUAUUUAACUAGUCUACUUGUCACCUGGACAUCAGGAUUUUUGAAAACUUCUCAAGUGUUUCUAUUUUGCAGCCUGUCAUGAGAAUAUCCUCUCUAGGGAAGACUUAAUAGAGAUAGAAGUAGCCAUCAUGAAUCCUUCAAGCCUUUUGCACUCUUACCUAUUGGAUUUGAACAUCUUACGUAGGGUCCAUCUUGGGUUAUGAUUGUCCCUCUCAGUGCUUUUGGAGGUUAUAUUUGUCACUUCUUAAACUAAAGGAAAAGACCCACUUUUCAUAUAAAGUUGUAAGUAGUAAAUAUGUUCCUUUGAAACGAGAGAAAGAUGCCCUUGCCUGUGAAAACGCUGCCCUACUUUUGCAGAGGUAGCUGUAUCACAUAGUGAAUGUGGCAACUGAUAUGGCCAUCACUGUGAAGAGCUGGGUACACACACCAGCCUCAGGACACCCCCUGCAGUCCUAACUUGGGAAUGUAAAACUCAGCUAUUUCAAGUAAACCAUUUCUGCUUCAUUCACAUAAGAACAUUUCCUUCACAAAAGUCGUAUGGACAAGACAAAAUAAAAACUUACCUAAGGAAAAAAAAAAAAAUGUCUUUGGUUAAUUACUGUGCUAAGCUACUUUCUGCAGAGGUUAAGUACUGCAGACAUUAGGAUCAGGAAAAACCAAGAAACAAACAACUGCGAGUAAAUUUUUCUCUAGGAGACAAGGAAAGGGAUUUGUUCAGCUCCUGAGAGAUAAAUGUAUGAAGACAAAGACAGAACAGCAAGAAAGUCAGAAGAACCAGAGCGAUGGUGUGUAACAGGAGGCUUUUAAGAAGCAUCCAAUAGCAACUGUCUCCUUUCUAGUUAUUUCUGUUACUUCAACCUUACCUCCCCCAAAUCCAGCACCUCAUUAUGAUAUCCUUCCCAAUCAAUCUUCUAUGGAACUA
Chlorocebus sabaeus (green monkey) is the source of this 1381-nucleotide long non-coding RNA. RefSeq lists it as uncharacterized. The record is from RefSeq and is a predicted model, not a curated record. NCBI's taxonomy places the organism in Eukaryota, Metazoa, Chordata, Mammalia, Primates, Cercopithecidae.